CCUACGGGUGGCAGCAGUCGAGAAUCAUUCACAAUGGGGGAAACCCUGAUGGUGCGACGCCGCGUGGGGGCAUGAAGGCCUUCGGAUUGUAAACCCCUGUCAUGUGGGAGCAAAUUAAAAAGAUAGUACCACAAGAGGUAGAGAUGGCUAACUCGGUGCCAGCAGCCGCGGUAAUACAGAGGUCUCAAGCGUUGUUCGGAAUCACUGGGCGUAAAGCGUGCGUUGGCGGUUUCGUAAGUCGGGUGUGAAAGGCGCGGGCUCAAUCGGCGAAGGGCACAUGAUACUGCGAGACUAGAGUACUGGAGAGGGAGGCGGAAUUCUCGGUGUAGCGGUGAAAUGCGUAGAUAUCGCGAGGAACACUCGUGGCGAAGGCGGGUUACUGGACAUUGACUGACGCUGAGGCACGAAGGCGAGGGGAGCGAAAAGGAUUAGAUACCCCAGUAGUC
Molecule: ribosomal RNA, 446 nt
Filed under: uncultured bacterium
Lineage: Bacteria
Description: partial 16S ribosomal RNA
Rfam family: Bacterial small subunit ribosomal RNA
Source: RNAcentral